GCGACGUCAACCACCAGACCGACGUUUCAUUGACCGUCAGUAUGCUCAGUAGAAAUAAAAAAAGGUUUCACCUGAAUAAAUACAUGACACAUGGAAAUUAGUAUCACCUGUUCAAUACAGUCGGAGGCAAAUAUAGCCUAUUCUUUUGAGAAACUUUAUAAUUAUAUUAGUCGAGUAGAGUGUCCAACCAAAACAAGUGCGAAUGCGCCAUCUUGUGGAUUUCAGUCGAUUUUGCAGGGGACUUUCCUUCAGACUUCACUGGCAUUAUAUGACGGGAUGUCCUGCCACAGAGUUCACCUGCGGAAGCCCCCCUGCAGCCCCCCCGGACCCUCCUCAUUAUCCUCCUUCUUCGUCCACACUCACGGUCAGCUAAAGUUGUCUGUUAUCCCAGAAGAUGGACUGCUUAAUG
This is a long non-coding RNA of Gadus morhua (Atlantic cod), 409 nucleotides long. RefSeq lists it as uncharacterized. The record is from RefSeq and is a predicted model, not a curated record. The transcript has 3 exons. Lineage: Eukaryota; Metazoa; Chordata; Actinopteri; Gadiformes; Gadidae.